AGCGAACGCUGGCGGCAGGCCUAACACAUGCAAGUCGAACGAACCUUUCGGGGUUAGUGGCGGACGGGUGAGUAACACGUGGGAACGUGCCUUUAGGUUCGGAAUAACUCAGGGAAACUUGUGCUAAUACCGAAUGUGCUCUUCGGGGGAAAGAUUAAUCGCCUUUAGAGCGGCUCGCGUCUGAUUAGCUAGUUGGUUGAGGUAAUGGCUCACCAAGGCGACGAUCAGUAGCUGGUCUGAGAGGAUGAUCAGCCACAUUGGGACUGAGACACGGCCCACACUCCUACGGGAGGCAGCAGUGGGGAAUCUUGCGCAAUGGGCGAAAGCCUGACGCAGCCAUGCCGCGUGAAUGAUGAAGGUCUUAGGAUUGUAAAAUUCUUUCACCGGGGACGAUAAUGACGGUACCCGGAGAAGAAGCCCCGGCUAACUUCGUG
RNAcentral lists this ribosomal RNA (434 nucleotides) under uncultured bacterium. RNAcentral describes it as "partial 16S ribosomal RNA". It matches the Rfam family "Bacterial small subunit ribosomal RNA", at positions 29 to 507 of the family's 1533-position model. The record is from RNAcentral.